Musa acuminata AAA Group (dessert banana) is the source of this 2531-nucleotide long non-coding RNA. RefSeq lists it as uncharacterized. The transcript is spliced from 3 exons. The record is from RefSeq and is a predicted model, not a curated record. Lineage: Eukaryota; Viridiplantae; Streptophyta; Magnoliopsida; Zingiberales; Musaceae.
CGUCCGUCGAUUCCAUCUCCUUCCUCUCUCUUCGCAAAUAUAUAUAGAGAACCAGAUCGUUUGCUCAAAUAUUCGCUGGUGUUUGUUGGGGAUGAGUUCUCGUCUCCAUCUUUAACUUCUUUGAUUCUUUCUGACUUGCACGUAUGGAUUUAUUUGUUGGCUGAAGGUCUUUUAUCUGAGUGAUGGGAGUGAUCUUGUUUGUCUUUCAGUAUGAUCAUCGGAUUUGUGUGUAAAACAUGUUCGAAAUAACGUUUUUCUUGGGGUUUAUGCUUUUGCGUUUCGAAUGAUGUUGUCGUUGGUCUUCUUGGUAUAAUCCGUGGAUAUCUGUGGGGAAUUGAUAUGUUUGGUGUCCGAAAAUGUGGUUCUUUGCUCAGCGGUUGUGUCUCUGCCUAGUAAAUAUGUGUUUUACUUGAAAUGAAAUUUAAGGGACUUUUCUUGGGUUUGGGUUUUCUGUUUGGAAUGCUUGGCUGAUGAUGAUAGCUUUAGGCAUGAGCCCCAACAACAUCUGCGCUCCAGGAUCGUUGAUGCCUGGGUUGUUGUUCGCAAGGAUGAAUGUGCCAAAAUGCUAAUCUGAGGUCUUAUUGUUCGAAUGUAUAGGAUUCAGAAAUUUCUCCAUUUUUUAAUCUAUCUUUUCAAUUAUAUAGCCAGGGUAAGUGUUGCUGAUGAUGGUAGAUAUAGGCAUGAGCCUCAACAACAUCUGCGCUCCAGGAUUAUUAUUUGCCUGGGUUGUGUCAAGGAUUAAGCAAAUUCAUUGUUUUUACACUUGUUUUGAACUCUGUGGCGAGGAAUAGAAUGUAGAAGAUGUCACUGAAUCCUCCGAACAAUAAAUGCUAAAAUACAAUAUGUAUAUAAUGGAUAUCAUCAUCUUGUUGUGUAACAGUGAAAAUUAGUCAUGUCUGUUUCUGCAACAUUUUGUGAAAAAAAAUGAGUCAUACUUUAUUUAACAAAAUAUGCCUAACUAGUUUGGUUUCAGACACUUUCAGAUAAUGCUAAGAUAUAGUCUUACAAGGUUUACACAUUAACCAGAAAGAAUUCUGUAGAUACUCAUGGUGUUGAAAGCUAGACGAACUGAUUUAAAGCCAUUAUAGCAUUUGAACAAUACUGAGUUAUAGAUUAGAUUUUGAAUGGCUUACUCAGUAAUAGAUCUUUUUUUGUUUUUAAUAAAUAUCUUCUCACCAUAUCUUUUUAUGUGAAAUCAUAAAUAUGUAGGAGCUCAUGAUGAGCAUGAUGCUUAUUUUGCCUGGGAGAGUAUUUAUCAAUUUUCCAAGUUUUUUUCUAUCAUUUUUUGCAAUAUGCCUUGGAUGUAUUCUGCAGCUGCAAGAUAGCUGUAAGAAUUUAUGCAUUGAAUUCAGAAAAAAGAAGUGUCGUGGAUAGCUGAAGUAAACUCAUAGCUGAACUGUCAAAGAGCAUAUGCUGCAGUGCGACAAUUUACCUGGGAAUUUUAAGCGUAUAAGAUGACAUUGGAUAUUCAAACAAUGAGCAUGAAAUUUCAGUAUAUCUUCAACGCAUAUGACUUUUAUAUUUUGGCAUAUGUGACCUAAUUAUAAUUGUAUAGAAAAAGAUAAAACAGUAUUCAAUUUUAGCAUAUGUGAACUAGUCAAAUCUUUGUCAGCUGAUAUGAUAUUAAGAUUUCAUUUUUAUAAAGUUCCUUGGGAAAGAAGAUACAAUUGUCCGAAUUCUUGAAGAAUCCUGACUUCUCCUUUUGGUUCCUGCCUUUUACUGUUAGGUUGGAUAUGUGGUUAUCUGGGACUAGAACUGCAUUGUUAGGUGGAUACAGGAAGUAUGCUUAAUCUAAUAAUGUAUCAUAUUUUGUGUAAUUUGAAAUUUUGGUUUAUUCUUUAUUUUAACAUGUAAAGCAUAUUAGAAAAGUUUAUAUUUCAUUUUAUUGUUCCUCUUGCAGUUGAUUUUUAAAAGUGUAUUAUAACCUAAUAUGCGUACUAAGGCAUGCUAUUUUUUGCUCAUUGUGAGCUAUGUGGAAGAGUGGUUGAAGACCAGCAGUUUACAAGUGAAUGGUAGGUUUUAUUUGCAAAUGUUAGGUUUGCAUUCUUACCAUAUGGUCGUAGUUUGUAAGAAGGAUUGAUCACAUGGGACCUGGUGGACCUCCUGGCCCAGGCCCAGGCCCAGGUUGGGGUCCUGGACCUGGGGGCCCUGGGCCUUGUGGCCCUUGCUGCGAUUUACUCUCUUCAUGUUUUUCCUUCCUCUGCUGCUGCUGGUUGCUUCGAGACUGCUGUGGCCCGCUAUUUGGCCGACCUCCUGGCCCUCCCGGACCACCCUUUUAAUAUGCAGUUGGACUAAAUGGAGUCCUAGUAAUAAUGGGGGGGUAUCAGUAAACGGCUCCUCGGAAUCAGUCGGUGUUUUUGUGUACUAAAAUGAUCCUUUCACGCCAGUAUAUUAUUGCUUCUGUUGUUUGGUAAUGGAGGUUGAUGAGGUCUUUCUUGUCGAGGAAUUGGUAAUGGAUGAUGCAGUUAUCUUCGUUGAAUCAAUGGAUAUUGUUGGCAUUGUGUAAUAAUAUGCGCUGUGCUUUGACUUCA